Molecule: ribosomal RNA, 460 nt
Filed under: uncultured bacterium
Lineage: Bacteria
Description: partial 16S ribosomal RNA
Rfam family: Bacterial small subunit ribosomal RNA
Source: RNAcentral
CCUACGGGAGGCAGCAGUGAGGAAUAUUGGUCAAUGGACGCAAGUCUGAACCAGCCAUGCCGCGUGCAGGAAGACGGCUCUAUGAGUUGUAAACUGCUUUUGUACGAGGGUAAACGCAGAUACGCGUAUCUGUCUGAAAGUAUCGUACGAAUAAGGAUCGGCUAACUCCGUGCCAGCAGCCGCGGUAAUACGGAGGAUUCAAGCGUUAUCCGGAUUUAUUGGGUUUAAAGGGUGCGUAGGCGGUCGGAUAAGUUAGAGGUGAAAUCCCGAGGCUCAACUUCGGAAUUGCCUCUGAUACUGUUCGGCUAGAGAGUAGUUGCGGUAGGCGGAAUGUGUGGUGUAGCGGUGAAAUGCUUAGAGAUCGUACAGAACACCGAUUGCGAAGGCAGCUUACCAGGCUACUUCUGACGUUGAGGCACGAAAGCGUGGGGAGCGAACAGGAUUAGAUACCCCUGUAGUC